AUACCAGCAAUCCAGUUGUUGUUACUGGAAAUGCAUAUAGCUUGGUAAUGAUACCAGCAAUCCAGUUGUUGUUAUUGGAAAUGCAUAUAGCUUGGUAAUGAUACCAGCAAUCCAGUUGUUGUUAUUGGAAAUGCAUAUAGCUUGGUAAUGAUACCAGCAAUCCAGUUGUUGUUAUUGUAAAUGCAUAUAGCUUGGUAAUGAUACCAGCAAUCCAGUUGUUGUUAUUGGAAAUGCAUAUAGCUUGGUAAUGAUACCAGCAAUCCAGUUGUUGUUAUUGGAAAUGCAUAUAGCUUGGUAAUGAUACCAGCAAUCCAGUUGUUGUUAUUGGAAAUGCAUAUAGCUUGGUAAUGAUACCAGCAAUCCAGUUGUUGUUAUUGGAAAUGCAUAUAGCUUGGUAAUGAUACCAGCAAUCCAGUUGUUGUUAUUGGAAAUGCAUAUAGCUUGGUAAUGAUACCAGCAAUCCAGUUGUUGUUAUUGGAAAUGCAUAUAGCUUGGUAAUGAUACCAGCAAUCCAGUUGUUGUUAUUGGAAAUGCAUAUAGCUUGGUAAUGAUACCAGCAAUCCAGUUGUUGUUAUUGGAAAUGCAUAUAGCUUGGUAAUGAUACCAGCAAUCCAGUUGUUGUUAUUGGAAAUGCAUAUAGCUUGGUAAUGAUACCAGCAAUCCAGUUGUUGUUAUUGGAAAUGCAUAUAGCUUGGUAAUGAUACCAGCAAUCCAGUUGUUGUUAUUGGAAAUGCAUAUAGCUUGGUAAUGAUACCAGCAAUCCAGUUGUUGUUAUUGGAAAUGCAUAUAGCUUGGUAAUGAUACCAGCAAUCCAGUUGUUGUUAUUGGAAAUGCAUAUAGCUUGGUGAAGUUAUGUAAUACCGGAUAGAUGGUUAUCAAAUCUAUACUGGCAAUUGUCGUCACUAAUACAUUGAGUUUGUCUAUGAUAACGCUUAAUGUCUCAAGUUUUACGCCUAAAUCUCCUAACAUAACGAAAACGCAAUGUAAACAAACAACAUUUUCAUGUUUAAUGAAUAAAGUGUAACAAACACGAAUGAAGUUAUAACGCACAUCUAAAGAAACUGUAAUAUUUAUAAACAAACAUUUUUUUAAUACAUUUUAAACAUUGU
Molecule: non-coding RNA, 1109 nt
Organism: Hydra vulgaris (swiftwater hydra)
Lineage: Eukaryota; Metazoa; Cnidaria; Hydrozoa; Anthoathecata; Hydridae
Source: RefSeq, a predicted model, not a curated record